RNAcentral lists this transfer RNA (69 nucleotides) under Stylochus stellae. RNAcentral describes it as "tRNA-Thr". It matches the Rfam family "tRNA". Rfam says of the family: Transfer RNA (tRNA) molecules are approximately 80 nucleotides in length. Their secondary structure includes four short double-helical elements and three loops (D, anti-codon, and T loops). Further hydrogen bonds mediate the characteristic L-shaped molecular structure. tRNAs have two regions of fundamental functional importance: the anti-codon, which is responsible for specific mRNA codon recognition, and the 3' end, to which the tRNAs corresponding amino acid is attached (by aminoacyl-tRNA synthetases). tRNAs cope with the degeneracy of the genetic code in two manners: having more than one tRNA (with a specific anti-codon) for a particular amino acid; and 'wobble' base-pairing, i.e. permitting non-standard base-pairing at the 3rd anti-codon position. Lineage: Eukaryota; Metazoa; Platyhelminthes; Polycladida; Stylochidae. The record is from RNAcentral.
UGCUUUAAAGUCAAAAUGUGGAGACGUAAGUCUUGUAAACUUAAGAUUGAAGUUAAUCUUCUGAGGCAA